RNAcentral lists this transfer RNA (71 nucleotides) under Stegodyphus mimosarum. It matches the Rfam family "tRNA". From Rfam's summary of the family: Transfer RNA (tRNA) molecules are approximately 80 nucleotides in length. Their secondary structure includes four short double-helical elements and three loops (D, anti-codon, and T loops). The record is from Rfam by way of RNAcentral. Lineage: Eukaryota; Metazoa; Arthropoda; Arachnida; Araneae; Eresidae.
GUCUUUGUAGUGUAACGGUAGCACACACGGCGCGUAUUCGAGAGGUCCAGGUUCGAGUCCCGGCGACGGCA